GUGGACCACUUUCCGGAAGCCAUCUGCACAUAACAGGGUGGUGGUGGCUCUGCCUCAGGACGGGACCAGACAGCCUCCAAAAGCGGCCACUGCCCCGGGAGGCUGCUGGGGACUUGGCCCUGGGUCCUCACUGUCUGCAGGCCCACCUCCGCACGCCCACGCCCCUGCCUGCCCAGAGGCAGCACUCACACAUGUUGAGCUGCCGCACGAAGCUGGCCAUGUUGUUGUGCUUGAAGUACUUGGGCAGCACCUCCUUGGCAAACUGGCCCUGGUCGAACACAUGGAAGCUGUUCCCACUCUGUCAGGAGACACAUGGGCGGGUCACACGUGGCGGCAAGGGGCAGCGCGCCUGGGCCACCCCUUGUGCAAUGCACGUCCCGCCCGAUGGGGCCGGGGCUGGCAGGAGGUGAGUUUGUUCCUGCGACCACCUGCCACCUGGGCCUCAUCUAUGCUGCAUGGUCUGCAUCCUCACUGAGGCCCAGGACUUGGCAGUGGGCAGAUGCAGGGCCUUCCUGGCAGUCGGGAAGCCCCUCCCCAGGCAUUCUAGAGAUGAGCCAUGCCACCUUUCCCCUCACGAAGCACCCACCGCACUCUGGCCUGUGUCUGUGGGAUGAGUGUUUGGCUUUAAGCAGCACAUUUCCCUUAGGAACAGCUAAGGAAAGGGAACCCUAAUUUCAUCAUUCCCUAGGAAAACACAGUUGUGUUCAGAAAUCCAAGUUCAUUCUUGUUUUGUCACAUGAGACAAGAAACAAAGAUAUUCAAACACUGCA
This is a long non-coding RNA of Callithrix jacchus (white-tufted-ear marmoset), 770 nucleotides long. RefSeq lists it as uncharacterized. The record is from RefSeq and is a predicted model, not a curated record. Lineage: Eukaryota; Metazoa; Chordata; Mammalia; Primates; Cebidae.